This 253-nucleotide ribosomal RNA is filed under the name uncultured bacterium. RNAcentral's name for it is "partial 16S ribosomal RNA". It matches the Rfam family "Bacterial small subunit ribosomal RNA", at positions 524 to 776 of the family's 1533-position model. The record is from RNAcentral.
UACGUAGGGGGCAAGCGUUGUCCGGAUUCAUUGGGCGUAAAGAGCGUGUAGGCGGCCAGGUAGGUCGGUUGUGAAAACUGGAGGCUCAACCUUCAGAGGUCGACCGAAACCAUCUGGCUAGAGUCCGGGAGAGGAGAGUGGAAUUCCUGGUGUAGCGGUGAAAUGCGCAGAUAUCAGGAAGAACACCCGUGGCGAAAGCGGCUCUCUGGAACGGUACUGACGCUGAGGAGCGAAAGCGUGGGUAGCAAACAGG